RNAcentral lists this long non-coding RNA (565 nucleotides) under Bos taurus (domestic cattle). RNAcentral describes it as "long non-coding RNA NONBTAT019436". Lineage: Eukaryota; Metazoa; Chordata; Mammalia; Artiodactyla; Bovidae. The record is from RNAcentral.
GGGUGAUGUUAUAUUUUAUCCAAAGACAUGUUUAUGAUUGUGGCGACAAAUUAAGUUACUGUAAAGGUUUGGUCAACAUUGUUUGUCAUGCCAUAUCUCUUCAAGCAAAGGAAACCUGGAAAUGUAGGUUUAAUGACUCAUUCAGGGGAUGACAAAACUCCCUAAAUUUGUGGUUCCUUUCAGUUUUACUCUAAGCUUGUGUUAAAUACUAAGACCAAUUCAUUCUUCAUAUGUAUCAACAGAAUUUUAUUUUUGCUUAUCUUCAUUCCCUAAUUCAAGUAUAAAUUGUAUAUCCUCUUAUCCUUGGUUUGACAGAGUCCAGCUUUGUUACUGUUUGGAAAUAGUGGGCAAUUUCUCUAUUUAUACUGAUGUUUAUGUCUUGGCAAUAGAAGAGAUAGUAACUGGAGACAUUUAGACUUAUUUGGGUCAGAGAGAAUUUAUUGAUUCUUUGGUAUGUUUAAUUAUGAUAAUAAUUUAAAACAACCUACAAAUCUAGAGGAGUCAUUCUUUUAAAAUAUACUGAUUAUAAUUUUCUAAACAUUAUUUUACUUUCUCAACUAGCUAC